AGUGAACGCUGGCGGUAGGCCUAACACAUGCAAGUCGAACGGCAGCACAGUAAGAGUUUGCUCUUACGGGUGGCGAGUCGCGGACGGGUGUGGCAUACAUCUGAAUCUACUUUUUCGUGGGGGUUAACGUAGGGAAACUUACUCUAUUACCUCAUUCCACUUUCGGUUGCAAGCGGUGGAUCUUCGGACCUUUCGCGGUUUAUUGAUCCGGUGUCGGAUUAGCUGCUUGGCGGGGGAAUGGCCCAUCACGGCGACGUUCCGUAGCAGGUCUGAGGGGAUGAGCAGCGACAGUGGAACUGAGACACGGUCCAGACUCCUACGGGAGGCAGCAGUGGGGAAUAGUGGACAAUGGGCGCAAGCCUGAUCCAGCCAUACCGCGUGGGUGAAGAAGGCCUUCGGGUUGUAAAGCCCUUUUGUUGGGAAAGAAAAGCAGCAGGGUAAUACACCGCUGUUCUGACGGGACCCAAAGGAUAAGCGCCGGCUAACUUCGUG
RNAcentral lists this ribosomal RNA (492 nucleotides) under uncultured bacterium. RNAcentral describes it as "partial 16S ribosomal RNA". It matches the Rfam family "Bacterial small subunit ribosomal RNA", at positions 29 to 507 of the family's 1533-position model. The record is from RNAcentral.